CUCUGUGUUCAUAUUAUCAGUUUUGGGGUACCCUCUGUGAAAAAAAAAAAAAAAAACAGAAAUAAAAAAAAAAAAAAGAGGUGCGCCCUCUCCACCUUGCCUCUGUUCUUUCGAUUUUUCCUUGUUACCAGCAACUCUUGUUACGUGUUUGGCACUAUCUUUCAACUUUGCAUUAUUGUUUGAUUGUGCUAAUCCUUCAUUUGAGUGCAGCCUUCCCAGAACUCCAC
Molecule: long non-coding RNA, 227 nt
Filed under: Setaria italica (foxtail millet)
Lineage: Eukaryota; Viridiplantae; Streptophyta; Magnoliopsida; Poales; Poaceae
Description: long non-coding RNA (SITA_LNC007514)
Source: RNAcentral